RNAcentral lists this ribosomal RNA (256 nucleotides) under uncultured bacterium. Its description in RNAcentral is "partial 16S ribosomal RNA". It matches the Rfam family "Bacterial small subunit ribosomal RNA", at positions 524 to 776 of the family's 1533-position model. The record is from RNAcentral.
UACGUAGGGUGCGAGCGUUGUCCGGAAUUAUUGGGCGUAAAGAGCUCGUAGGCGGUCUGUCGCGUCGAUCGUGAAAACCUUGGGGCUUAACCCUGAGCUUGCGGUCGAUACGGGCAUGACUGGAGUUCGGCAGGGGAGACUGGAAUUCCUGGUGGUAGCGGUGAAAUGCGCAGAUAUCAGGAGGAACACCGGUGGCGAAGGCGGCGACCUGGGACAAUACUGACGCUGAGGUGCGAAAGCGUGGGGAGCAAACAGG